Molecule: ribosomal RNA, 322 nt
Filed under: uncultured eukaryote
Lineage: Eukaryota
Description: partial 18S ribosomal RNA
Rfam family: Eukaryotic small subunit ribosomal RNA
Source: RNAcentral
CCCUUAGAUGUUCUGGGCCGCACGCGUGCUACACUGAGUGGAUCAGCGGGUCAGGUUGCGCGAAAGUGUUUCCUAAUCUUGAAAUCCGCUCGUGAUGGGGAUUGACGGUUGCAAUUUUCCGUCAUGAACGAGGAAUACCUUGUAAGCGCGGGUCAUCAUCCCGCGCUGAAUACGUCCCUGCCCUUUGUACACACCGCCCGUCGCUCCUACCGAUUGAGUGGUCCGGUGAGGCUUUGGGAUCUGAGCAAAAAGAGCGUUCCGCUCGUUUGGCUCGGAAAACUCAGUCGAACCUUAUCAUUUAGAGGAAGGAGAAGUCGUAACA